Molecule: long non-coding RNA, 308 nt
Organism: Scleropages formosus (Asian bonytongue)
Lineage: Eukaryota; Metazoa; Chordata; Actinopteri; Osteoglossiformes; Osteoglossidae
Rfam family: WT1 antisense RNA conserved region 7
Source: Rfam
AAAUAUUUUCUACAUUAGGAGUCAUUUUAAGGCAAUAGACCUCUGCUGCACAUAUGCACCCAUUCUUUCCCCAAGCACAGUGUAAAUUGUGGUCAUCCUGGAACCAAUUAGGAAGGAUAUGUCUCAAUUUGUUCAGAGUUUAGGCCACAGUGUGGCCAGGAGCUCUGCCCAGGCAGGGCGCAAAUACGCAGCGCUCCUGAAAUUGAUGAACUGGGACCUGCUGCCGCUCCGUCAACUGCGCCAUCUGGAAUUGUAGUCUGGGCUUCUGCUGAAAGCUUACUGACCUGGGAUUCAACUUUUUAAACUCG